This 1071-nucleotide ribosomal RNA is filed under the name uncultured Chlamydia sp. RNAcentral's name for it is "bacterial SSU rRNA". The record is from RNAcentral. Lineage: Bacteria; Pseudomonadati; Chlamydiota; Chlamydiia; Chlamydiales; Chlamydiaceae.
AAUCAGCUUGUUGGUGGGGUAAUGGCCUACCAAGGCUUUGACGUCUAGGCGGAUUGAGAGAUUGACCGCCAACACUGGGACUGAGACACUGCCCAGACUUCUACGGAAGGCUGCAGUCGAGAAUCUUUCGCAAUGGACGAAAGUCUGACGAAGCGACGCCGCGUGUGUGAUGAAGGCUCUAGGGUUGUAAAGCACUUUCGCUUGGGAAUAAGAGAGAUUGGCUAAUAUCCAAUCGAUUUGAGCGUACCAGGUAAAGAAGCACCGGCUAACUCCGUGCCAGCAGCUGCGGUAAUACGGAGGGUGCUAGCGUUAAUCGGAUUUAUUGGGCGUAAAGGGCGUGUAGGCGGAAAGGAAAGUUAGAUGUUAAAUCUUGGGGCUCAACCCCAAGCCAGCAUCUAAUACUAUCUUUCUAGAGGGUAGAUGGAGAAAAGGGAAUUCCACGUGUAGCGGUGAAAUGCGUAGAUAUGUGGAAGAACACCAGUGGCGAAGGCGCUUUUCUAAUUUACACCUGACGCUAAGGCGCGAAAGCAAGGGGAGCAAACAGGAUUAGAUACCCUGGUAGUCCUUGCCGUAAACGAUGCAUACUUGAUGUGGAUAGUCUCAACCCUAUCCGUGUCGUAGCUAACGCGUUAAGUAUGCCGCCUGAGGAAUACACUCGCAAGGGUGAAACUCAAAAGAAUUGACGGGGGCCCGCACAAGCAGUGGAGCAUGUGGUUUAAUUCGAUGCAACGCGAAGAACCUUACCUGGGCUUGACAUGUAUUUGACCGCGGCAGAAAUGUCGUUUUCCGCAAGGACAGAUACACAGGUGCUGCAUGGCUGUCGUCAGCUCGUGCCGUGAGGUGUUGGGUUAAGUCCCGCAACGAGCGCAACCCUUAUCGUUAGUUGCCAACACUUAGGGUGGGAACUCUAAUGAGACUGCCUGGGUUAACCAGGAGGAAGGCGAGGAUGACGUCAAGUCAGCAUGGCCCUUAUGCCCAGGGCUACACACGUGCUACAAUGGCCAGUACAGAAGGUAGCAAUAUCGCAAGAUGGAGCAAAUCCUCAAAGCUGGCCCCAGUUCGGWCKGUAGU